AAUAAUUUAUUAAUGCAUAUUUAUUUGGAAGAUAAGUUUUAAGUUGGCUUUGCAUGUGUUGGUUUCCUUCAACCAUCUCUUUCCACGCGGCUGCUCAAUCUUCAUCACUUUCCAUCGCCUCCCCUUUGCUGCCCUUUAUAUUCGGCCUCCUUGGUUUACAUUUCAUUCCAUUCUGCCAUUGUUUGAAAUGAGAGGCAGGCCGAAAGUUUUGAGUAACGGCAACAGAAAAUAAAAAAAGAAAAAAAGAUUAUCAUUGUUACGGUGUUUCAACGUUCGGGGAUUUGUAACGGCCUCGAAGACGCCCGGCCCUGCCAUCAGGAGAAUGGCCAGAAUUCCGAGCUGGUCGCUAUGCUACCUUUCUGCUGAACACCACCAGCUGACGAUUUUCGAGCACUUAGCUCUUCGAGCAGCAAGCAACACCAACCGAUUUCACAGAGUAUUCAGGUGCUCUGGCAAUACGCCAUUUAGACAUAUCUGUCGCCUAGCAGGAGCUGUAACAACCUGCCAUAAUUGACUGUGGCAUCUUCUAUUUUUCAAGCGCAGGCUCUUUUGACUAUAAAAUCGACACUUUCGUUAAUAUGACA
Punica granatum (pomegranate) is the source of this 584-nucleotide non-coding RNA. The record is from RefSeq and is a predicted model, not a curated record. NCBI's taxonomy places the organism in Eukaryota, Viridiplantae, Streptophyta, Magnoliopsida, Myrtales, Lythraceae.